UUUUUUGAGAACGUUCCCAUCUACUUAUCACUAGUCUUCGUAUGAAAAAGCCGAACUUGUUUGAUAUUUAUACUAAGAAAAAAUUUUCGAGGAUUUGGUCUUUUCAAUGGAUUGAUUUUAUUUCUCACAUAAUGAAAUGCAUGUUGAUGACUGUAUGAUUAGUUUAAAAGAGAUAAAACUUAUUUUAAACAAAAGUAAAGUGCAAAUUGUUACACUCGCAUUGAUGAGAGUCUGUAGCUUCCUUUCGAAAACUUGAAAUUUCUAUCACUGCU
Non-coding RNA from Schizosaccharomyces pombe (fission yeast), 272 nucleotides. Lineage: Eukaryota; Fungi; Ascomycota; Schizosaccharomycetes; Schizosaccharomycetales; Schizosaccharomycetaceae. The record is from the annotation of a GenBank genome assembly.